This 502-nucleotide ribosomal RNA is filed under the name uncultured bacterium. RNAcentral's name for it is "bacterial SSU rRNA". It matches the Rfam family "Bacterial small subunit ribosomal RNA", at positions 28 to 521 of the family's 1533-position model. The record is from RNAcentral.
GACGAACGCUGGCGGCGUGGAUUAGGCAUGCAAGUCGAACGGUAUCAUCCUUUCGGGGGUGAGAGAGUGGCGAACUGGUGAGUAACACGUAGGUUAUCUACCCUCAAGACGGGGACAACCCAGGGAAACUUGGGCUAAUACCGGAUGUGAGCAACUUUUAGUUGUUUGAAAGGUGGCGUAAGCUGUCGCUUGGGGAUGAGCCUGCGUCCUAUUAGUUAGUUGGUGAGGUAACGGCUCACCUAGGCAAUGAUAGGUAGGCGGCCUUAACGGGUGGUCGCCCACACUGGGAUUGAGAUACGGCCCAGACUCCUACGGGAGGCAGCAGUCGAGAAUAGUCUACAAUGGUCGGAAGACUGAUAGUGCGACGCCGCGUGAACGAUGAAUCCCUUCGGGGUGUAAAGUUCUUUUAUAUGUGAGCAGUGCUUCUUAUAUUAACAGUAUGGGGAGAGAGGAUAUUAGCAUAUGAAUAAGCAACGGCUAACUCCGUGCCAGCAGCCGCGGU